CUCUCCUCACCCUUGGCUCAACAUGUUGUUGGUUGACAACCUUUCUGUAAUGCAGAACAGCUUGCCGUAGAUUCUGCAAUGCAGAGCAUCUAUCAAUUACAGCAUCUAAGGCUUCUCAAUAAUCUUGUUAUCUUCCACAACAAUAGGAUAUCAUCAAUGCCAAAAGCACGACCUUGCUCUGUUCCAGUCCUUACUCUGGUAACACUAGAGGGGGAUGCAGCAGCAUUGCCUCCAGU
RNAcentral lists this unclassified non-coding RNA (236 nucleotides) under Hevea brasiliensis (rubber tree). The record is from RNAcentral. Lineage: Eukaryota; Viridiplantae; Streptophyta; Magnoliopsida; Malpighiales; Euphorbiaceae.